Non-coding RNA from Myotis brandtii (Brandt's bat), 45 nucleotides. NCBI's taxonomy places the organism in Eukaryota, Metazoa, Chordata, Mammalia, Chiroptera, Vespertilionidae. The record is from Rfam.
CCAAAGGCUCUUUUAAGAGCCAACAAAGUGUCAAAUCAAGGGCUG